CCUACGGGGUGCUGCAGUGGGGAAUAUUGGACAAUGGGCGAAAGCCUGAUCCAGCCAUGCCGCGUGUGUGAAGAAGGCCUUCGGGUUGUAAAGCACUUUCAGUGGGGAAGAAAGCCUUGGGGCUAAUACCCUCGAGGAAGGACAUCACCCACAGAAGAAGCACCGGCUAACUCCGUGCCAGCAGCCGCGGUAAUACGGAGGGUGCGAGCGUUAAUCGGAAUUACUGGGCGUAAAGCGCGCGUAGGCGGUCUGAUAAGCCGGUUGUGAAGGCCCCGGGCUCAACCUGGGAACGGCAUCCGGAACUGUCAGGCUAGAGUGCAGGAGAGGAAGGUAGAAUUCCCGGUGUAGCGGUGAAAUGCGUAGAGAUCGGGAGGAAUACCAGUGGCGAAGGCGGCCUUCUGGACUGACACUGACGCUGAGGUGCGAAAGCGUGGGUAGCAAACAGGAUUAGAUACCCUGGUAGUC
RNAcentral lists this ribosomal RNA (465 nucleotides) under Vreelandella stevensii. RNAcentral's name for it is "partial 16S ribosomal RNA". It matches the Rfam family "Bacterial small subunit ribosomal RNA", at positions 338 to 795 of the family's 1533-position model. The record is from RNAcentral. Lineage: Bacteria; Pseudomonadati; Pseudomonadota; Gammaproteobacteria; Oceanospirillales; Halomonadaceae.